This 253-nucleotide ribosomal RNA is filed under the name uncultured bacterium. RNAcentral describes it as "partial 16S ribosomal RNA". It matches the Rfam family "Bacterial small subunit ribosomal RNA", at positions 524 to 776 of the family's 1533-position model. The record is from RNAcentral.
UACGGAGGGUGCAAGCAUUAAUCGGAUUUAUUGGGCGUAAAGGGCGUGUAGGCGGCUAUGUAAGUCAGAUGUGAAAUCCCGGAGCUCAACUCCGGAACAGCAUUUGAAACUACAUGGCUUGAGGGUAGAGGGAGAAAACAGAAUUCCACAAGUAGCGGUGAAAUGCGUAGAUAUGUGGAGGAAUACCUGUGGCGAAAGCGGUUUUCUACUUUAUUCCUGACGCUGAGGCGCGAAAGCAAGGGGAGCAAACAGG